AUUGAACGCUGGCGGCAGGCCUAACACAUGCAAGUCGAACGAGUGGCGGACGGGUGAGUAAUGUCUGGGAAACUGCCUGAUGGCGGGGGUUAACUACUGGAAACGGUAGCUAAUACCGCAUACCAGCCGCUGUGCCCAGAUGGGUUUAGCUUGUUGGUGGGGGAACGGCUAACCAAGGCGCCGAUCCCUAGCUGGUCGGAGAGGAUGACCAGCCACACUGGAACUGAGACACGGUCCAGACUCCUACGGGAGGCAGCAGUGGGGAAUAUUGCACAAUGGGCGCAAGCCUGAUGGAGCCAUGCCGCGUGUAUGAAGAAGGCCUUCGGGUUGUAAAGUACUUUCAGCGGGGAGGCGUUACCCGCAGAAGAAGCACCGGCUAACUCCGUGCCAGCAGCCGCGGUAAUUC
RNAcentral lists this ribosomal RNA (406 nucleotides) under uncultured bacterium. RNAcentral describes it as "partial 16S ribosomal RNA". It matches the Rfam family "Bacterial small subunit ribosomal RNA", at positions 30 to 526 of the family's 1533-position model. The record is from RNAcentral.